AUGAUGUUCAUGCACACAGCUCUAGUUUUUGGUUGGGCUGGCUCAAUGGCUUUAUACGAAUUAGCAGUUUUUGAUCCCUCUGAUCCUGUUUUGGAUCCAAUGUGGACACAAGGUAUGUUCGUAAUUCCUUUCAUGACUCGUUUAGGAAUAACGGAUUCGUGGGGUGGUUGGAGUAUUUCAGGAGGAACUGUAACAAAUCCGGGUAUUUGGAGUUAUGAAGGUGUAGCAGGGGUGGCUUGCUUUGGCUUUGGGGCAUUUCAUGUAACGGGUUUGUAUGGUCCUGGGAUAUGGGUAUCCGAUCCUUAUGGACUAACUGGAAAAGUACAAGUUGUAAAUCCAGCGUGGGGUGCAGAAGGUUUUGAUCCUUUUGUUCCGGGGGGAAUAGCUUCUCAUCAUAUUGUUGCGGCUUUCGUAGUUGCUGGAACUAUGUGGUAUGGGUCAGCAACGACCCCAAUCGAAUUAUUUGGGCCUACUCAUUAUCAGUGGGAUCAAGGAUACUUUCAGCAAGAAAUAUAUUGA
This 519-nucleotide ribosomal RNA is filed under the name Triticum aestivum (bread wheat). RNAcentral describes it as "partial small subunit ribosomal RNA". The record is from RNAcentral. Lineage: Eukaryota; Viridiplantae; Streptophyta; Magnoliopsida; Poales; Poaceae.